Molecule: RNA transcript, 1035 nt
Organism: Homo sapiens (human)
Lineage: Eukaryota; Metazoa; Chordata; Mammalia; Primates; Hominidae
Gene: TSPAN16
Gene name: tetraspanin 16
Exons: 7
Source: RefSeq, marked reviewed
AGGCAGCCAGGACACAGAGGGGCAGAGCAAGUCAGCAUUGGCGCCCCUUCCUCAGAUCCCUAUCAUCUUGGGAAACAGUAGCCCAGAGGUUCAGGAAGAUGUUAACUUAAAUGUUCAGGGUGCCCCAGUCUGUUCAGCAUGGCUGAAAUCCACACUCCGUAUUCUUCCUUGAAGAAACUGUUAUCUUUACUCAAUGGCUUCGUGGCUGUGUCUGGCAUCAUCCUAGUUGGCCUGGGCAUUGGUGGUAAAUGUGGAGGGGCCUCUCUGACGAAUGUCCUCGGGCUGUCCUCCGCAUACCUCCUUCACGUUGGCAACCUGUGCCUGGUGAUGGGAUGCAUCACGGUACUGCUUGGCUGUGCCGGGUGGUAUGGAGCGACUAAAGAGAGCAGAGGCACGCUCUUGUUUUGCAUCCUGUCAAUGGUUAUUGUCCUCAUCAUGGAAGUUACAGCUGCCACAGUGGUCCUUCUUUUCUUUCCAAUUGUUGGAGAUGUGGCCUUGGAACACACCUUCGUGACCCUGAGGAAGAAUUACAGAGGUUACAACGAGCCAGACGACUAUUCUACACAGUGGAACUUGGUCAUGGAGAAGGGACUCUCCAAGUAUUUCUUCUCCUCUCUAUAGCUAAAGUGCUGUGGGGUGAAUAACUACACAGAUUUUUCUGGCUCUUCCUUCGAAAUGACAACGGGCCACACCUACCCCAGGAGUUGCUGUAAAUCCAUCGGAAGUGUGUCCUGUGACGGACGCGAUGUGUCUCCAAACGUCAUCCACCAGAAGGGCUGUUUCCAUAAACUCCUAAAAAUCACCAAGACUCAGAGCUUCACCCUGAGUGGGAGCUCUCUGGGAGCUGCAGUGAUACAGUUGCCAGGAAUUCUUGCCACUUUGCUGCUGUUUAUCAAGCUGGGCUGACACCCAGGCCUGGAGAAGAUGAGACACCUGGGCCCAUCUGGCUGCUGGAGAUUCAGUCUCAGUUUUAUUUCUCUGUGGCACUCACUGCUUCUGGAGGGGAGACUGUUAAUAAAAGAUUUGGGAACCCCC